Molecule: long non-coding RNA, 2383 nt
Organism: Humulus lupulus (European hop)
Lineage: Eukaryota; Viridiplantae; Streptophyta; Magnoliopsida; Rosales; Cannabaceae
Exons: 2
Source: RefSeq, a predicted model, not a curated record
UUAAAUAUAAGUAACAUGGAAUGAAAUUAACACUAUAUUUGACAAAUUCAUCACUCUUAUAAUAGGACAAAAAAAGUAGAGUUUCUAAAAUUUGACAUUGGAUGAAUGAUUAUGGGAAGAGAAUAAUGGUUCUAUGGUUAUAAAAGAUUUAUCAUUCAUUUUCUAAAAAUACAAAAACAAACAAUGUGUGAUGGGGGAAAAGAGAAAAUUCCAUAUGAAAUUGUAAUCAUGAUAAGGUUCACUUGAUAAAAAGACAAAACAAUUGACUCAAUGGCUGAGUCAUUCCAUUAAUUCCUUGAAACCAAACUUAUUCAUCUCUUUGUAAUUUUACUGUAUUAAAUAGUACUUUUGAAUCAGGUUAAAAGUGCAAUCAAUUCAUUACCCAACUUGUCUCAAUAAAGAAAAAGGGAGAAGAACCCACUUGCAGUUGGUCCAUCCAUCAACUAGGUUUGAUGGAAAUAUAUAUUUAAUGGCUAAGAAGAAAUGGUCAUCACUCAUGACCCUUUUUUCUAUAUAAAUAUAUAUACACAAAAUGUGUCAAAGUUCAAGAUAAUCAAACCCUUUAAAGGGUAGUGAUUUCAAACCGACCACUACGACAUUCUGGUCACUGCAAAUUUCUACAUCUUCCUCCUAAUUAUUGCAAGUCCUAAAAGUGAGGGUUUGAAGCUCUAAUCCAUAUUUUCAAAGCCUGCCUUUCAAAUUGAGAAUCUUAGCCCUUUAAAAAGGCCAGAAAUGAAUUACCUAAGCCACACAGAAGAUUUCAUAUAAAGGAGAGUUUGGCAAGUCUUUGCAUGUCCAUUCAGAAGGAAGUUUCUUCUUUGACCAUGAACAUGGACCAUUUUAAUUGGUUCUGUUCGUUAAGGUCAAAAAGGUUGAAUUUUGCUACAGCAAGUUCUACUUAUUGAAAAAAGUUAAUAUAUAUAAUUUGUUUUAUAUGUAAAUCUUAAUGUAUAAUGAUGCAGAGAGCUUAAGUUUCAACCCUGCCUGUUUUUAUGAAGAAAUCAGCUAACCCAGGGGAUUUUCUUGCAAACUAUGUAGUUUCGUGACAAAUGAAAAUGUGGCUAAAGUAAUAUGCAUCAGAAAAGAGACUCAUGAAUACAUACCUGAGUUGCUUGAUUUUGAGAAGCACACAAAUUCUUCAGAAGUUGUGUUGAACCCACACUGCCCAGAAUAUUCAAGGCACUCCCAACAAGCUCCUUGGCCAUAUUCAGCUCUGUACUCCAAAUCAAAACCUUUGCUCAAAGCAUCUUUUGCCGUCAACCGAUUAAUUUGCAAAUCUGUGUAGUAUUUUUGCAGAAGUGGAAUGCUGAUCGUACCAUUACAUAACAGCUUUUCAUAACCCGAAGGAUCCAUUAGGUAAUAACCUGGUUCAGCUUUACUGGUGCAUCUGAGCUCAGGUAACGUUGUAUUUGGAAUCCCAGUUGAGCAAUUGUACACAUAAGUCAACCUGGCAUUAUUUGAAGCACAUUUAAAAGGACUGUUCUCAAGGGCCUUAGCUGAGAUGUUAACAACUCUGUCAGGACAACCAUCAUCCACCAUAUCUGCAUCAACAACUGUAAUAGUUUCGUCCCGUUCACCCAAUAUGUAAAACUUUCUGGACAGAAUCUCUAUUUCAGGGUAGGUGUUAUGAUGGCACUCUAGCUUGAAUCCUGGGCGGCCACAGUCUUGAUUUCGUUCACCUCCCCAGUAAGGGUAUCCAAAAGAUGCAUAACCACACUUGAACAGGCGGCUACAAGCUUCAAACUUUGCCUCAUCUUCGACAGUUUUGUAAGGGGUUGGUACUCCCACGGAUACAGUUACUAUGGUGAAGAAGAUUAAAGAAGAAGCAUGGAGUAAAGGGUACAUCGGAAAAGUUUGGUGUAAGAAAAACAAAAUGGUACUCUCACACAAAAAUAACUAAACCAAAAAUUUAGAGAACAAUGAAGAAGACAGUUGGGUUUGAAAAAUAAAGUGCUGGUUUAAUCAAGUAAGGGUAACUAGGCCAUAUUUUUCCUUACAAAGUCUAAUAUUUCAUUAUUCACUGUCUCUUUCCUAGACACAUUCAAACUGUUGACUAUAAGGAAAUUUCUUAUACCAGCAUAUCACGUUUUGGACUAAAUUUGUUUGUAUUAACUACAAGCAUUAUCUAAAGAAUUUGGUAAUAGAGAAAUGCUAGGAGGCACUAUUAGCCAACACUACACGGAGGUGAUAUUGGUGAAAUUCAAUAUUGGGUUUCACACAUUGGACUUUAAUAAAUAUUAUGGAAUGGCACCUUAAAGUGUCAAAUUGCAACCCUCUUGAUUAUAUGGUAAGUUAAGUUUUCCAACAUUUAUGAUGUGGCACGUGAUUGAUGAUGGUGUUAAUACAACUUAGUAAGUUAAAAUAUGUCAAAUUAUAUUUUAAA